UCUAAAAGCAUUUUGUGAAUUGUAUUGUCUUUCAGCCUGAGCGUUUCCUGCCUGGUUUCCUGUGCUGCCGUCACGGAGCUUUACUCAGGAGAACAAAGCUGGUGCUUCUGGAGAGGAUUUCAAUGGACAGCCCGGAGAGCAGCUCGCACGAGACAUCGCUUACCCUCGUAAUGCUGUGAUGGCUCUUUGAAUUUCCCAGAAGAACCCCUUUGACCCUUCCAGAUGCACAGCUUCCGCCCUUCCUCAGGUGGUCGUUCCACAAGAGACACAAGAGCCGAAGUUGGCUGCUUGGCUGUGAUGAGCGAAAGCACAGGAUGCCAGUAAAUCCAAUGGCUACAGGAAAAUUCAGUUAGCGAGUCAUCAGUAAAAUCUCCAUUCUUCUUACGUUACACACCUGUUGUAAAAGAGAUUUAUGUAUAACAAAAAUUAUUUCUAGUGCUUUCCUUUUCAUCUGAAUUUACUUGUUUCAUGAUAAAACAUUUCUCAGAAAUGUAUGGAAUUAAAUAACAAAGGAAAAAAAAUAUAUGUACUAUUUUGCAUAUGGACAGUGAUGACAGUUAAUUACCAAGCGAUUCCUUCAAAGUUGCAUCACUGAGUGCAUUUUCUGUGUAAAUUGAUUACAAGUCACAAGCAUUAUCAGCCACUAUUCAGAAUUUCUUUGCUUAUAAAAUUCAUACAUUAACUCUAAUAUCUACACGUCUCUGAUAUAAUGAAACCAAAUUAACCUUUUCAAUAGGUAAAUGGUUUACUGUACAUUAAUCAUGUAAACCUUAUCUGUAAGGCUUCCUCUUUGUUGGAGUUCCUAUACUUUCAUUUAUCAUUAUCAAACCUAUAUGAUUUUAAUGUAAGAAGGAAAACAUUUUUAAACAGGUAUGACUUCUUUGAUUUAAAUUUGACAAGCUAAAAAUCAUUCAUGUUUUCUCGUGUUCAUCCAUAUCUAAGCAAGAAGGAAAAGAAAAGUUGUCUCGGAUCUUUUACAUAUAUUUUGGCACCCAAGUACAUGGUAUUUUAUGGAUAGAAAAAAUAUUCAUGGAUAAUAAGUCAUGACGAUACAACUGAAACCUUUAAAACAUGUUUAAUGUUUCUAAAGAUCCAAAAACUGUGCAACCAAAAAUAUUUCAAUAAUGCCUGUGCUACACCUAGCACUAUCUACAUUUCUGAAUAUUUUACACAAAAGAUACAAUUUCAACAGCUAUGAAAUCAUAAUAGUAUCUGUUAACCUUACUAUAUAAAGCCUUGUGACACUGCCACUGAAAAAGUUUAAUCAAAUGCAAGUGCUAUGGAACACAAUGACAAAAUGUUACCAAUGAAUAAAUAUACUUUCUUUGAAACACUUUCUUUAUCAUUGUCAACAUUAGAAUCAUCCAAGAUUUAUCAUAAAGAUUUACACAAUGCCAUACCCUAUCAUUAUUACCUUCCUUCUUGUAAUAUAAAGA
Long non-coding RNA from Penaeus monodon (black tiger shrimp), 1436 nucleotides. RefSeq lists it as uncharacterized. The record is from RefSeq and is a predicted model, not a curated record. The transcript is spliced from 3 exons. NCBI's taxonomy places the organism in Eukaryota, Metazoa, Arthropoda, Malacostraca, Decapoda, Penaeidae.